Molecule: long non-coding RNA, 422 nt
Organism: Medicago truncatula (barrel medic)
Lineage: Eukaryota; Viridiplantae; Streptophyta; Magnoliopsida; Fabales; Fabaceae
Exons: 2
Source: RefSeq, a predicted model, not a curated record
CAGACCAUGGAAUUUUAGUUAUAAAACAAUAAAAAAAAUUAUUACAUGUAAAGAAGGAAAAAUAUGGCUAAAUUUUCCAUGUUUGUUUAUGCUUUGAUCAACUUUCUUUCUCUAUUUCUUGUUGAAACAGCAAUAACUAAUAUUCGUUGUGUUUCUGAUGAUGAUUGCCCAAAGGUAAUAAAACCUCUAGUUAUGAAGUGUAUUGGUAAUUAUUGUUAUUUCUUUAUGAUCUAUGAGGGUCCAUAAUCACACAAUUGAAACAAGGGGAGUAAAAAUCAAACAAUUGAGAAAUAUAAGGGGCGACUAGAACAUUUAAGUCUAUUAUUUAUAAUAAGUCAUAAUAUUUGUUUUGGUAAAAAAAAAAAAUAUUCAUAAUAUUUGUAUGUAUUGCGCUCUUUUUCCUUCAACAUGCUUUAUGUCAA